RNAcentral lists this ribosomal RNA (406 nucleotides) under uncultured bacterium. RNAcentral describes it as "partial 16S ribosomal RNA". It matches the Rfam family "Bacterial small subunit ribosomal RNA", at positions 28 to 526 of the family's 1533-position model. The record is from RNAcentral.
GACGAACGCUGGCGGCGUGCCUAAUACAUGCAAGUCGAGGGACCGGCGCACGGGUGAGUAACACGUAUCCAACCUGCCCUUUACUCGGGGAUAGCCUUUCGAAAGAAAGAUUAAUACCCGAAAAAAAGGAUGGGGAUGCGUUGCAUUAGGUUGUUGGUGUGGUAACGGCUCACAAAGCCUUCGAUGGAUAGGGGUUCUGGGAGGAAGGUCCCCCAGCUUGGAACUGAGCCACGGUCCAAACUCCUACGGGAGGCAGCAGUUAGGAAUAUUGGUCAAUGGGCGCUAGCCUGAACCAGCCAAGUAGCGUGAAGGAUGAAGGCUUAUGGGUCGUUAACUUCUUUUAUAUAAGAAUAUGUAUUAUAUGAAUAAGGAUCGGCUAACUCCGUGCCAGCAGCCGCGGUAAUAC